Molecule: long non-coding RNA, 743 nt
Filed under: Citrus maxima (pomelo)
Lineage: Eukaryota; Viridiplantae; Streptophyta; Magnoliopsida; Sapindales; Rutaceae
Description: long non-coding RNA (CMAX_LNC001566)
Source: RNAcentral
GCGAAAAAUGUUGAACAAUGUUAAUAUGCAUUAAAAUUUAAAACCACUUCCGAAGGCAGAUUCGGGUAUAGACAAGUAGGGAGCACUAACUUUUAACUUUUUGCUUUAGCAGGACAAUUUAAUUUCGUUUUCAUUUUUUUUUUAUGCAUAAACAAAACAAAACGUUCAGUUUCAGUUAUGCUUAAAUUGUAAAACAGGAGACGGAGAGGAGAUGUCCGCUGCCCGCAUGACUCGGUUCCCCUUUGUUCUGACUCCGAUUUCGUUUUUAUUGAAGCCGACAAACUCCUGGUCCCCGCCGCUUAUCUGGCCUUGGCCAUUUACGUAGUUGCAUCUAUAUGAAUCUCAUUUGCUGAAGCUGGAAAAGAAAAGAUCGAAAAAUAAAAUAAAUAAGCCAAACCGUUCAAAUUAUAAAUACGAUAAAAUAAAUAAAUGCGACCCGAAAAUUAUUGCGAGACCCAUUUCACUUGUGGCAACAUUGACGACGUACGUUGCGUUGUUGAUCCAUCACAUGUGCUGUCACAGGGUUGUCCUCUUUGCGUUUGGGGCCAAAUAUUGCAUGGGUUAUUAAUUUUGUUGCUAGAUAUUUCAUAUUUGUGUUGUUAAUUUCUCGAGUCGAUGUUGUGUUUCUAUUUUCUAAGCUUGCAUGUGGCAAGCUAGCUCACUUCAUUACACGGAUUUUUCUCAGCUUUGUCCCAGCCACCGUUUUGUAAAAUAUCUUAAAAGCAACUCCAAAAGAUUGUCCC